Molecule: long non-coding RNA, 384 nt
Filed under: Mytilus galloprovincialis (Mediterranean mussel)
Lineage: Eukaryota; Metazoa; Mollusca; Bivalvia; Mytilida; Mytilidae
Source: RNAcentral
UUUUAUUAAACCAAUCAUAGGCCCUUGUCGGGCAAGAUACAAAAACAUCAUACAAUGAUUAUAUAAACAUUAGUGAAAUACACAAUAUUAUAAGUAAUACACAAAUAAUAAAUUGAUAAUAUGAGCAAUGUAGGAUAUAAUUAAGGUAAGAGGCAUUGAGUGCAAUGAGGUCGAUUUAAUAUUAAAAGAAUAUGAUAUAAAGUUUAUUAAUACGGAAACAAAAAGUAAAAAUAGAACCAGGAAUAUAGUAUCUCAUUCUGCAGUAGUUCUCCUCAUGACAAGUGCAUAGCAGUGAGGGACUUUUACAUCACAACAAUGCAAAGGUCAUCAAGGGGAGAUCCUUCAGAACUAGUUACAGAUACAUGAGAUUACUCCAAUAGUGAU